UCAAGAAACUUCCACAAUGGGCGAAAGCCUGAUGGAGCGACGUCGCGUGAUGGACGAAGUGCUUCGGCACGUAAACAUCUUUUAUGUGGGAUGAAAUUAUUGACAGUACCACAUGAAUAAGGGGCUCCUAACUCUGUGCCAGCAGGAGCGGUAAUACAGAGGCCCCAAGCGUUAUCCGGAAUCACUGGGCGUAAAGGGUGUCGAGGCGGUUGUAUUAGUCGUUCGUAAAAUCUACGAGCUUAACUUGUAGGCGGCGAACGAAACGGUACGACUUGAGGUUUGGAGAGGUGCGUGGAACUCACGGUGUAGGGGUGAAAUCCGUUGAUAUCGUGGGGAACACCAAAGGCGAAGGCAGCGCACUGGCCAAAAUCUGACGCUGAGGCUCGAAAGCGUGGGGAGCGAACAGGAUUAGAUACCCAUGUAGUCCCUGAGCGGGCUGGCAAGGCGCAU
RNAcentral lists this ribosomal RNA (450 nucleotides) under uncultured bacterium. RNAcentral describes it as "bacterial SSU rRNA". It matches the Rfam family "Bacterial small subunit ribosomal RNA", at positions 355 to 825 of the family's 1533-position model. The record is from RNAcentral.